Molecule: long non-coding RNA, 4632 nt
Organism: Raphanus sativus (radish)
Lineage: Eukaryota; Viridiplantae; Streptophyta; Magnoliopsida; Brassicales; Brassicaceae
Exons: 2
Source: RefSeq, a predicted model, not a curated record
UUUAGAGCCAAACACUUAUUAGCCAAAAUUUUGUUUUUCCACCACUGAAACUCUCGACAUCUCCCUUCUUUUUUUUUUAUCAAACAUCAUCUCCCUUGUUCUUGGCACCAUCACACCGUGAAUCUGAACUCUAAUCGAUCCCAGCUCCAGUGGGUGAAACGCCAAUUUCAUACCCACCAAUUCUGGUUUCUUCAAUCUCACAUCUCUCCUCUACCAAAUUUCAUCACGAGAAAUUAGACAAUUUCGAUGCGACGAACUUGAUGAAAGAAUCGAACGAGUAACCUCUCUGUCUUUUGACGAGUCAUCCUCUUAUUUUUGAUGUCACACUCGCCGUCCCACCACCGCCACCACCACACCACGGCAUUAAAGCUUGAAAGCUUGAAGAUGGUGUGAUAUCAAGCUGGUUCUAGUGUGAAAGCUGCUGUCCGAAGGAUUCUGAAUCAGGGUGGUUCAUACGCGCCGAGAAUAACCUCCCUACCUUCUCAAAAUCGUUCCUUUCACUCAACCCUUUACAGACCAAAUCCUUAGAGUGCUACUCAUGUUCCUUUCAGUCAACUGUAACAUCCCGAGUUGUGAUAUGAAAAAAGGUUUAAGAGAAUUGAUUUGGCUACCCAUAUCACUAAAGUUGACUUACCUUUUCCGUCACACCUCCGUUUAGAACUCCAGAGUUAAGCGUGCUUGGGCUGGAGUAGUGGAAGGAUGGGUGACCUAUCAAGAAUUGAUUCGCGAUACCGUGCGAGUGAGGCCAAAACACGGAGAAAGGUCGGUGGUGAUUGCAGUGUCAGUAGACAAGACUCUAGAGCCUUGGAAAAAUUAGCGACCACCAUCAGAUGGGAUGGAGCCCACGGGCCGAGAGAGCGGCCGUGGGUGGCCCAUUAGCCGUGGGCGGUCGGGGAAUUACAAGUGGUAUCAGAGCUGGUUAGCCGUCUCAGUUCUGACCUGAGCUGGUUAGCCGUCUCAGUUCUGACCUGAGCUGGUUAGCCGUCUCAGUUCUGACCUGAGCUGGUUAGCCGUCUCAGUUCUGACCUGAGAGGCAUCUUGAGACCUGUCGUGGGCCGCAACGAAAACAUUGCGUUCUUUGAGAGGAGGUGAAUUGUAUGUGAAAAGGCUUAAUAGAAUUGAUUUGGCUACCUAUAUCACCAAAGUUGACUUACCUCACACAUCCGUUUAGAACUCCAGAGUUAAGCGUGUUUGGGCUGGAGUAGUGGAAGGAUAGGUGACCUAUCAGAAAGUGAUUCGCGAUACCGUGCGAGUGAGACCAAAACACGGAGAAAGGUCGGGUGGUGAUUGCAGGGUCAAUAGACAAGACUCUAGAGCCUUGGAAAAAUUAACGACCGACCGUCAGAUGGCAUGGGGCCUACGGGCUGAGAGAGCGGCCGUGGGUGACCCAUUAGCCAUGGACGGUCGGGCGUUUUUUAUGUGACAACCUGUCCUGCGGAUCCCAGAUUUCACAGCGCUACAGCGCACCGACCCUAUCCACCGGUAGGUUAUUGAUGCGCUUGCGUUACUCGAACCCAAGAACUCACCCUUUAACAACUCUCCACAAGACAAGCUAUCACCAAUUGAUCUGCAGGUCUAAUCUUUUUAUUUUGGUCUAAAAAUUCCAAAACUUAAAUCCUAAAUAUUCAAUACCCUAAACCCUAACUUCAAACAUAAACCAUGCAUAUUCAACUCAAAACUCUAAAUCUUUUUCAAUUAUACUUUUAACUUAAAAUUUUAUUUAAUGUAAUAAUACUUUUUUUUUUACUUGUGUGUUUAUUAGAGUAUAAAUUCCAAACCCUAUUCCCUAAACUCUAAAUACUCUACUUCAAACCCCAAGUACUAGACCAUAAAUUAUAAGACUAAACUUCAAUUAAUUAUAAAUUCUGAAACAUAAAUUUUAAAAAAAUGUAUAAACUUAAAAUCUUAAACUAUAAACACAAAACUUCAAUCUAAACUCUAAACUUUAAAUGUAAACUCUAAAUCUUCUUCUCUUUUAGGUUUAACUUAAAUUUUAAAAGUACAUUAAAUUUAUAAACUACAACAAAAUUAUAACCUAGAUUUAUAUAAAAUUAUAUUUUUUAAAAGAGUAUUUAAAAGAAAAAAUAAAGAGGAAACAUAGUGUGUUUAAAAAUAAAAUAAAGAGGAAACAACUUUGACCAAUAGGAAAAAAGGUGAAGAUAACUAAAAUAAUGUUGUAGUCUCUACCUCCGUCGACACUGCCACAAAAAUAAAGAGGACACAUAGUGUGUUUACAUACCUGUAAGCUUAUGUCAACGCAUCCAAUCUGCCCUCACGAGAUUCUGGUGGGAUGCAUCUCCAGAUGAAAAGAAAAUGUGUUGGGUGUCUUGGGACAAACUGACAGCACCUAAAGCCUUGAGUGGACUCGGAAUCAGGGAUACCCAAGCUUUCAACAAGGCCUUAUUCGCGAAACAGGCAUGUAGGAUAGUGACUAAACCAGAGUGCCUACUAAGGGUACUACGAGGAAAAUCAGUAAGGCGGCAUUUCUAAAUGAGGAAGCUCCUAAGGCUGCCUCGCACGGUUGGAGAGGGAUUUUAGUGGGUAGAGAUUUGCUGCUGAGUAAUCUGAGUAAAGUUAUAGGUGAUGGAAAAGGCACACGACUAUGGAAGGACCCAUGGCUUAGCUCCGUAAAACCGAUGAGACCUAUGGGUCCGAUGCAAGAGAAACAUCAGGAUCUGGUGGUGGCGGACUUACUAUGCAGAGAGAACCGAGAAUGGAAUAUAACGAAAAUAAACAGCAUCUUACCGGAGUCUCUGCCAGCUAUCCUAUGUAUCAAACCAAGUAUCACAGGCGCGACUGACUCUUAUGCCUGGCUAGAGUCAAAAACCGGUGUAUACACAGCCAAGUCCGGUUACUUUGUGGCAGUGUCGACGGAGGUAGAGACUACAACAUCCGACUUAAAUCUCUACAAGGCAAUAUGGAAAUGCAAAGUAUCUCCAAAGACCCAAAUCUUCUUGUGGAAAUUUUCAAAAGGAGCUCUUGCUUUAGGGAAAAAUCUGGUGAAAAGGGACCUUACUUCCAACGUUAGUUGCAAACAUUGCGGUGAACUGGAAACCGCGGAUCAUGUUUUUAUACACUGCAGUUUUACCAGAUGGGUCUGAGACUCUAACAUGUGGACCACAGACUUUAAUCCAUCCGCUUGUGCCUCCUUCAGUGAAGCCUUCUUAUCGACAACCAAACUGAUAAACUUACCACCUUUCGGUGUGACAGAGAACCUCUUCCCUUGGAUAAUCUAGGGAAUCUGGAUAUCAAGUAAUCUUCUUGUCUUCGAAAACAAAGUAACUACGCCUGCAGAACUCAUCUCAAGGUUAAUCAGAAAUGCUCAAGAAUGGACCAUGGCGCAAGCAACUACUUCACAGCAACAACCGACAUCACUUCGUAGUUUGACUACUCAUUUGCCACCAUUUACCUUUACUUGUUUUACUGAUGCAGUGUGGCAAGCUACAACCCAAAGAGCAGGAUGUGGAUGGAUUUUCUACACACAACAGGGAGAAAGACUAGACCAGGGAACUUCCAUGUUUGAGCAUACUUCGACACCAAAAAUGGCGGAAGGACUGGCCAUCAGAUCGGCUCUCUUACACGCCCUGGAAGCUGGCUACACAAGAAUCUGUAUCAAAUCAGAUUGUCAAGUACUUGUUGCUACUAUCAGCUCGAAGAACCACCCACAGAUCUCUACGGAAUCACCCGGGACAUCGAGCAUCUAUCCCUUUCUUUUGAAUUCAUUGUCUUUUCUUUUGUACCGAGAAACUUGAACUCCCUAGCUGAUUUUGUUGCAAAAUCAGUGUUGUAUUGAACUCCAACCAACUAUUUCUAGUUGGGCUAAGUUUCUUCUUAAUAGUAUGAUUGUGUUCCAAAAAAAGAAAACUAAAAUAUCAAUCUCCACCGUUGAUAGAUCUCAAUCUAACGGAUAUAAUAAUUUUUUUAUUAUCCCUUUCUUCUCCUUGUUUCUCUCACGAUGUUUCCAAUUUUCUUCGCAUAUCUCAAAGUAAAUUAUCAAUCUUCUCACAAUCCUCUCCAGUUUCUUACAUCUCUUCAUCUCUCAUAUUUGGCCGUCCUCUGCCUCUCUCUCUUUUUUCUUUUUUUUAGAUCUCUCCUAACCUCACUCAUACACAGGAUUCAUCUCACAGACAUCUCUCUAUCUCACUCUCCUAAUCUCUCUAUCUCACAUACGACACAUCUCCAACCAUCUUCUCUGUCUCUGGUCAAGCUCUGCGUUGGCUUCACCUCCACACCACCACCACAGGUCAACUCACUCCACCUUCCUCUUAUCUGCUCUCUUCUUCUCGUCAUCUUAUAUAUUUAUGAUUUACGUUUUUUUUAAAGAUUUAUUAAGGAGCAAGGGAAGGAGAAGCAGUGGUGCGACAUAGCGGCAUCUCCGGUCAAGCGUGAUGCGGCCGUGGUGCAAGCCGGUGGUGGUGGGGGUGGUCGUGCGGUGGAGAUGCGAGCAUCAUGGUCGGCGGAGACUGAAGAAGAAUGUAGUUUGGUGGCUGUAUUAGGUUUAGUUAGGAUUAAUUAGUUAACCACUUCAUAAUUGUAAACCAAUUUGUAUUGUAAACCAUUUUGAAAUUGUAAAUCAAUGUAAUUGUAAACCAACUAAACAAAAAUUCAAUUUAUAAAAAUACCAAUUUAUUA